AAACGACUCUCGGCAACGGAUAUCUCGGCUCUCGCAUCGAUGAAGAACGUAGCGAAAUGCGAUACUUGGUGUGAAUUGCAGGAUCCUGUGAACCAUCGAGUCUUUGAACGCAAGUUGCGCCCGAAGCCAUUCGGCUGAGGGCACGUCUGCCUGGGCGUCACG
RNAcentral lists this ribosomal RNA (162 nucleotides) under Delarbrea paradoxa. RNAcentral describes it as "5.8S ribosomal RNA". It matches the Rfam family "5.8S ribosomal RNA". From Rfam's summary of the family: 5.8S ribosomal RNA (5.8S rRNA) is a component of the large subunit of the eukaryotic ribosome. It is transcribed by RNA polymerase I as part of the 45S precursor that also contains 18S and 28S rRNA. The record is from RNAcentral. Lineage: Eukaryota; Viridiplantae; Streptophyta; Magnoliopsida; Apiales; Myodocarpaceae.